Molecule: ribosomal RNA, 562 nt
Filed under: uncultured bacterium
Lineage: Bacteria
Description: bacterial SSU rRNA
Rfam family: Bacterial small subunit ribosomal RNA
Source: RNAcentral
UCUUUAUAUUCAGCUCGCGCCUCCUUAUUGAUUANAGUUUGAUCUUCGCUCAGGGUGAACGCUGGCGGCGUGCCUAACACAUGCAAGUAGAGCGGGUACCCGCAAGGGUGCCAGCGGCGCACGGGUGAGUAACACGUGGGUAAUCUACCCCUUGGAGGGGGAUAACCAGGGGAAACUCCGGCUAAUACCCCAUACGAUCCAGCAACGAAGGUCACUGGAUGAAAGGAGCGUUUUGCUCCGCCGAGGGAUGAGCCCGCGUCCCAUCAGGUAGUUGGUGGGGUAAUGGCCCACCAAGCCUAUGACGGGUAGCCGGCCUGAGAGGGUGGUCGGCCACAAGGGCACUGAGACACGGGCCCUACUCCUACGGGAGGCAGCAGUGGGGAAUCUUGGACAAUGGGCGAAAGCCUGAUCCAGCGACUCCGCGUGGGGGGAAUAAGCCCUUCCAGGGUGUAAACCCUUUGUUGCCGAGGGUACGAAAUAAGGCUUGAAUGAAAAUUGCCUANGCCCGAUGAACUGUUACCUUUGCAUAAAAAAAAAACUGUGUUUAAUGUACGUGUCCUGU